GUUCAUUUCUUCUAUUCUUCUCUCUAUAUGUUGGUGUUCUAACCAAUAAUCACCAAAGCGAUGUUCUGUCCGAUUGAUUCAGGAACCAACUAACGAAUGCCAAAGUGUUGUACUUUGUGAAUUUCGGUAAACGGAAUCCAAAGUGUUAUACUUUGUGAGUUCGUUAAAUGGAUACCAAAGUACUAUACUUUGUGAGUUCGUUAAAUGGAUACCAAAGUACUAUACUUUGUGAGUUCGUUAAACGGAUGCCAAAGUACUAUACUUUGUGAAUUCUGUUAAGGUUCGAAUCUCGUGACUACCGUUAAGGCUUGAUUUGGGUUUUACACAAAUACGUAUUCCAUUCUGUUAAACUAUAUGUUUAACUACUCGGAUACUCCCAACUGCACACUUACAAUCAAACAAACUAUUACUUCAUCAGAAGAUUCAGAACAAUAAAGUAUACGCUUAAUUAUCAGAAGGAAUAGUAUCCAGAAGCUUGUUAAAUCAAUACUGCAUGCUUAUAAUGGAUUAAGUCUUUGUAAUCACCAAGUUAUAGCCGGUAUGUGGGGUUUUGUAUACAUUACUAGUUUCUCGUCACACUUGGACAAACGGGUGGCCAAGGGGU
RNAcentral lists this long non-coding RNA (604 nucleotides) under Helianthus annuus (common sunflower). RNAcentral describes it as "hypothetical non coding rna". The record is from RNAcentral. Lineage: Eukaryota; Viridiplantae; Streptophyta; Magnoliopsida; Asterales; Asteraceae.